AGUGAACGCCGGCGGUAGGCCUAACACAUGCAAGUCGAACGGCAGCACAGUAAGAGCUUGCUCUUACGGGUGGCGAGUGGCGGACGGGUGAGGAAUACAUCGGAAUCUACUUUUUCGUGGGGGAUAACGUAGGGAAACUUACGCUAAUACCGCAUACGACCUACGGGUGAAAGCAGGGGAUCUUCGGACCUUGCGCGAUUGAAUGAGCCGAUGUCGGAUUAGCUAGUUGGCGGGGUAAAGGCCCACCAAGGCGACGAUCCGUAGCUGGUCUGAGAGGAUGAUCAGCCACACUGGAACUGAGACACGGUCCAGACUCCUACGGGAGGCAGCAGUGGGGAAUAUUGGACAAUGGGCGCAAGCCUGAUCCAGCCAUACCGCGUGGGUGAAGAAGGCCUUCGGGUUGUAAAGCCCUUUUGUUGGGAAAGAAAAGCAGCAGGUUAAUACCCCGCUGUUCUGACGGUACCCAAAGAAUAAGCACCGGCUAACCUCGUG
Molecule: ribosomal RNA, 492 nt
Filed under: uncultured bacterium
Lineage: Bacteria
Description: partial 16S ribosomal RNA
Rfam family: Bacterial small subunit ribosomal RNA
Source: RNAcentral